GGAUAUAGACCCGAAACCGGGUGAUCUAGCCAUGGGCAGGUUGAAGGUUGAGUAACAUCAACUGGAGGACCGAACCGACUAAUGUUGAAAAAUUAGCGGAUGACUUGUGGCUAGGGGUGAAAGGCCAAUCAAACUCGGAGAUAGCUGGUUCUCCCCGAAAGCUAUUUAGGUAGCGCCUCGGACGAAUACUACUGGGGGUAGAGCACUGUUAAGGCUAGGGGGUCAUCCCGACUUACCAACCCUUUGCAAACUCCGAAUACCAGUAAGUACUAUCCGGGAGACACACGGCGGGUGCUAACGUCCGUCGUGGAGAGGGAAACAACCCAGACCGCCAGCUAAGGUCCCAAAGUAUUGCUAAGUGGGAAACGAUGUGGGAAGGCUCAGACAGCUAGGAUGUUGGCUUAGAAGCAGCCAUCAUUUAAAGAAAGCGUAAUAGCUCACUAGUCGAGUCGGCCUGCGCGGAAGAUGUAACGGGGCUAAGCAAUACACCGAAGCUGCGGCAAUGUCUUUUAGACAUUGGGUAGGGGAGCGUUCUGUAAGCCGUUGAAGGUGAAUCGUAAGGUUUGCUGGAGGUAUCAGAAGUGCGAAUGCUGACAUGAGUAACGACAAAGGGGGUGAAAAACCUCCUCGCCGGAAGACCAAGGGUUCCUGUCCAACGUUAAUCGGGGCAGGGUGAGUCGACCCCUAAGGUGAGGCCGAAAGGCGUAAUCGAUGGGAAACGGGUUAAUAUUCCCGUACUUCUGACUAUUGCGAUGGGGGGACGGAGAAGGCUAGGUGGGCCAGGCGACGGUUGUCCUGGUUCAAGUGCGUAGGCUUGAGAGUUAGGUAAAUCCGGCUCUCUCUAAGGCUGAGACACGACGUCGAGCUACUACGGUAGUGAAGUCAUUGAUGCCAUGCUUCCAGGAAAAGCCUCUAAGCUUCAGAUAGUCAGGAAUCGUACCCCAAACCGACACAGGUGGUCGGGUAGAGAAUACCAAGGCGCUUGAGAGAACUCGGGUGAAGGAACUAGGCAAAAUGGUACCGUAACUUCGGGAGAAGGUACGCUCUUGAUGGUGAAGUCCCUCGCGGAUGGAGCUGACGAGAGUCGCAGAUACCAGGUGGCUGCAACUGUUUAUUAAAAACACAGCACUGUGCAAAAUCGCAAGAUGACGUAUACGGUGUGACGCCUGCCCGGUGCCGGAAGGUUAAUUGAUGGGGUUAGCGCAAGCGAAGCUCUUGAUCGAAGCCCCGGUAAACGGCGGCCGUAACUAUAACGGUCCUAAGGUAGCGAAAUUCCUUGUCGGGUAAGUUCCGACCUGCACGAAUGGCGUAAUGAUGGCCACGCUGUCUCCACCCGAGACUCAGUGAAAUUGAAAUCGCUGUGAAGAUGCAGUGUACCCGCGGCUAGACGGAAAGACCCCGUGAACCUUUACUACAGCUUGGCACUGAACAUUGAACCUACAUGUGUAGGAUAGGUGGGAGGCUAUGAAGACGUGACGCCAGUUGCGUUGGAGCCGUCCUUGAAAUACCACCCUUGUAUGU
This 1521-nucleotide ribosomal RNA is filed under the name Vibrio cholerae. RNAcentral describes it as "partial 23S ribosomal RNA". It matches the Rfam family "Bacterial large subunit ribosomal RNA", at positions 705 to 2213 of the family's 2925-position model. Lineage: Bacteria; Pseudomonadati; Pseudomonadota; Gammaproteobacteria; Vibrionales; Vibrionaceae. The record is from RNAcentral.